UGGGCACAUGCUUCCUAUAUGCUCAGCCAGGUAUGCCUUUCUUUAAAGAUCUCAAAUCCCUCUAUUUCGAAAAUUGAAUCCAUCACAUUUAAUUUCCUACACCAGAAAAACAAAAUUAAUUCGACAUAUCUUCUAUAAAACUCGUAUAAUUUCAGGUACUGGGUGCUGAAAACGAGGCGAAAAAGAAGCUUAAGCACAUUGUCAUGGCAGCCACAAGGUGGUAUUAGAUAUGAAAAUCUACAUGUAUUAACUAACAAGUUAUAGCCAAAUAAACCAAUGAAUUUACAUUUCGUUUUUCGAUAUAUAAACAGAGAACAGAGAUUCGAGAGGGUGACAAAGAAUCUGAAGGUGGCUAGAGUAUUUACCACACUAGUGGAGGAGAUGAAAGCAAUCGGACUAGUAUCUCUCGACGAUUCACAGUGCACGAACGUGAUGGUGCCGAUGGCUCAUAAAGACAGAAGCCCGGUGCUCCUCCUCAUGGGUGGCGGCAUGGGAGCCGGCAAGAGUACUGUGCUCAAAGACAUUCUCAAAGAGUAAGCUAAAAAAAGAAAUGUUAAAUUUAUCAACUCCAAAUAAAUAGAAAAUAGAGAUAGAAUUAUUACAUUGUAGGAUUAACCCGAAUUUUGGAACAGACCAUUCUGGGCUGGAGCAUCUGGAAACGCAGUCGUAAUAGAAGCAGAUGCGUUCAAAGAAUCUGACGUCAUUUACAGAGCUCUAAGCUCUAGGGGCCACCACGACAUGCUUCAAACUGCUGAACUGGUAUUAUAUUUAUUCAUUGUCCAAUAACUGCAUAAACGAUAAACCUCUGCAUAAAAAAUUGAUCUCGUUCUUUUUUUUUUUUUUUUUGUGUGUGUGUGUGUAUAGGUGCACCAAUCGUCUACAGAUGCAGCAUCGUCACUCCUAGUGACAGCACUGAACGAAGGGAGGGAUGUGAUAAUGGACGGGACCCUCUCGUGGGUCCCGUUUGUUGUCCAAACGAUAAAUAUGGCAAGAAAUGUCCACCGAAAAAGAUACCGCAUGGGGGCCGGUUACAAAGUGGACGAUGCAGGAGUCGUCACUGAAAACUACUGGGAACAAAUUGACGAGGAGCAAGAGCAGGACGGGACUAAGAAGCGAAGAGCUUACAGGAUAGAGUUGGUCGGAGUUGUCUGUGAUGCUUACUUAGCAGUAAUCCGAGGAAUAAGGUUCCUGCCAAAAAAUAAAAAGAAAAAAAAAACAUCAUAGUACUACUAAUUUUAAGGUUUAAAAACAAUAAUUAACGGAUUAACUCUCGACUAUCUUUGUAUGGCACAGGAGAGCUAUAAUGUGUAGGCGAGCUGUAAGGGUGAACUCGCAGCUAAAAUCACACAAGAGAUUCGCAGAUGCAUUCACAACGUACUGCAACUUAGUAGACAAUGCUAGACUUUACAGCACCAAUGCAUUGGAAGGCCCUCCUAAGGUAUGUACACACAGUACUAACUUUUCUUCGUCUAAAAAAUUUUAACUAAUUUCGACAUAUAUAAAUAAAGAAAUAAAGAAAUAAAGAAAAUGUGGGGGUUGUGAAGUUGAUAGGAUGGAAAGACAAGGACAAGACACUGUUGGUGGAUCCAGACGAAAUAAAGAUACUGAAAGUGGUGGGGAGGUUGAACGAAGAAGCGGGUUCGAUAUUCGAGCUGUACAAGAGGCCGCAUCCAGGUUUCGAAGCGGGGUCCGUUUGGAACGACAUAGUUUUGUCGCCUUCGAGGUUGAACAUUCAGAAAGAGCUCAAGUAUUCCAUUCAGAAAGUCGAGAGCUUCCGAGAAUGAAUCAUCUUUGGUGUCACCGACACUAUACAUCAUCUAUUAUGCCAGACACUCAAACUUUAGCAGCAAAAUCCCAUCAUGGAGAUUUUAGGCUACUAGUUUUUUUUCUCGUUUUUUUUUAAUGUAUCGAUGUUUUUGCUUUGUCCCCCUUCAGCCAAUGGAUAAUACUACAUAGCAAAAAAAGAUGAGCAAUCCCCUCUCACAUAUAUACUAAAAAGAACAAUACAAGCAUACGUCUUUCUCACGAAAUUAUGCAUCAUGAUUAUAACUCUCAACAAAUUCAGCUGUUUACCUUUCUUUUUUAUUGUAUUCUCCAUACUAGUCCCGGAAACAAGAAACAGAAAGACCUAGUGUUGCUAAAUGCAAAGCCCAGGUUCGGAAACUGCCUUAAUAUUGAGAUCGUGAUGUUAAAAUCUGCCUAUUUUUAUUUUUCAAGCCACUUAACAACCUGAAAAGUCAUCGUAUUCAUCAUUUACGGUACAACGAGAGAGGAAAUAAAUGUGCUACUCUAUGUUGCAAUUUUAUCACAACAUGACACAGUUGUGCAGAAAAAAAUAGUUGUCAAUUUGUGUUUCUCAUUAGCAAUAAAAGUUGUUGACAGAGAAAAUUUAAUGACAAGGUAGGGAGAUGGCGGUAGGUGAAAAACAAGGUGAAAAGACGGCACGUGGUGAAUAUUAAUGCCAUUUUAGUGUUCGACAUACGUAAGAACAAAAUUAGCUUCAAUGAUAACAAUUCUAUGAUAUUUUUCUUUGAGAAAUAUUUUGGUGACGAUAAAAGUAUCACUCAAUGAGCUUCUUAGAUUUGUAGUUAAAAACUAAAUCUUAACAGAGGUUUCUAUAAUAGGGUUUAUACGUAAUUAGACACACGGUGAUGUGAUUUACUCUAUAUUUGGUCAAGGGUAAAAAUAAAAUUUUCAUUAAGUCAACGGUCAAAUGAGUUGAAAACGGCAAGUGUUAGCAGAAAACCCGAGGGUCGAUAUGCAUUGUUUCCAGUAAAAUAAAUUAUCAUAGAAAAGGAAAUGCCCUAGGUUCGAGUACAUAAAUCAAGCUUCAUGCAAGAAUACAUAAUCGCCAAUUUUUAGUCCUCCACAUUAACACCAAAUCAUAACGACGUAGGGAAGGAGACAAAAGCCAAGUUUCCUCUACGUUUCGUAAGCAGUGACACGUGUAUACUAUAAACAGAUACAACUAAUGAAGCAGCUCCCAAUACCAAGAUUUCACGUAUAUCUUCCAUGAAUUAAAUAAAGAAACGAAAGCCAAGCAAUUUACCUUCACAAGCAUUACUUUGUUUCUCUUCCGAAGUAAAGAAACAUCACAGAUUAGCC
This 3105-nucleotide long non-coding RNA is filed under the name Erythranthe guttata (spotted monkey flower). Its description in RNAcentral is "long non-coding RNA (EGUT_LNC000028)". The record is from RNAcentral. Lineage: Eukaryota; Viridiplantae; Streptophyta; Magnoliopsida; Lamiales; Phrymaceae.